Molecule: ribosomal RNA, 253 nt
Filed under: uncultured bacterium
Lineage: Bacteria
Description: partial 16S ribosomal RNA
Rfam family: Bacterial small subunit ribosomal RNA
Source: RNAcentral
UACGUAGGAUGCAAGCGUUGUUCGGAGUUACUGGGCGUAAAGGGUGUGUAGGCGGUUCUUUAAGUUUGGUGUGAAAUCUCCCGGCUCAACCGGGAGGGUGCGCCGAAUACUGAGGGACUAGAGUGCGGGAGAGGAAAGUGGAAUUCCUGGUGUAGCGGUGAAAUGCGUAGAUAUCAGGAGGAACACCGGUGGUGUAGACGGCUUUCUGGACCGUAACUGACGCUGAGACACGAAAGCGUGGGUAGCAAACAGG